CCUUCCAUCUACGGAAUUAUUCCUCUGAAACCCUAGCCUCCGAGACUACUAUAAAAGCAUAGCCACACACAAUGGUAGAGGUACGUCUAAAUUCUUACUGAAACUCUGCAUAAAUUAUUUCUCAAAAACCCUAGCCACCUCCUCUCUUUCUCUCUCUCACACAAGGCUCCGGCCACCACACACGGCUCCGGCCACCCGGUUUUCCUUGAAAUAUCCUACCUAACUUAGGCAUCGGAGGGCCUUUGGCCAACACCCCCCGGGUGUGGUCCUUUUACUCCGAUCUAUUUUGC
RNAcentral lists this long non-coding RNA (290 nucleotides) under Prunus persica (peach). RNAcentral describes it as "long non-coding RNA (PPER_LNC000470)". Lineage: Eukaryota; Viridiplantae; Streptophyta; Magnoliopsida; Rosales; Rosaceae. The record is from RNAcentral.